Long non-coding RNA from Aquila chrysaetos chrysaetos, 1988 nucleotides. RefSeq lists it as uncharacterized. Lineage: Eukaryota; Metazoa; Chordata; Aves; Accipitriformes; Accipitridae. The record is from RefSeq and is a predicted model, not a curated record. The transcript has 2 exons.
CUAUCAUCCAGCAAGAUGAUUGUUCUCAUCACAAACCUGUUCAAUAGUGGCUUUAUCAGAGUCAGCCGGAAUCACAUUUUCAGGCCUCUUAGCAGUCACAGGUAUAAUGAUCACAACCCUCAAGAACUCUGUGCACUGGCUGUGGAUUUGGUUCUGACUACGAGAGAAACAUGCAUUAUGCCUCCCGGCUGACUCACUCUCAAGAUAGUUUUGCUUUGUGAUGUGGCCUUGAGGCAAAGAUCGCAUUCUAAAUAUGAAAUGGUUCUGAAGGGAAUGGAUCGCACUGCACAAGAAAGCAGCAAGAAUCGAUCCAGCACUCAGCUACAAUUGCUCUUCACAUUCCUUUGGCUCAUGCUAGCCAAGUGAGUGAGAAGAGGGAUAUGCUACUGUGCUCCCAGCUUUUGCAGCUGGAGUAGACAGAGGAAGACUCCUGCUCGUGUAUAGAGCAGGAAAGAAAAAGGAGGGAAAAGACUGAGGGCAUGGGUGGUUCAGCGCAGGGGGUUGCAGAGGAAUACGAACUGUUUAAAGGGAGCCGCCUGACACACUGCAAGAGCAGGGCAGUAUCAACAAAGAAAGGGAUCACAGGAAGAGAAAGGUGGUAGUUAAGGAAGCUGAAAGUUACACCCUGUCCCUGCCACAGAGAUGCUGUGGCAUGUAUCACUUAAUUAUAAACUUUCAUCACUUAAAACUGAACUUCAGACAGGUCUUCAUUUUUGAAGCAAAAUUGUAAAUGCCCUGAAAAUCAAUUCCAAAAUUUUGGGAUUUCGGGCACACAGGACAGGCUGACACUUUAUUAAUAUUAUCUUCAGCCUCUGUGCCUUAAUCUUCCAUUUGUAAAGUGAGGAAAGCAUGCAUAUCUGAUCCAUAUGAUGAGAAUUAAAGUAACAUUAUGCACAAUAAAAAAAUCCAAAGGAACCAGAAUAUAUUAUUUACAGUAAAUAUAAAUUACCUAUACCCCUCACUGAAGGAGGGGGCAAAUAAACAAUAAACAACUUUCCACAUAUUGAGCUAAGCACUCUCCAUCCUAUACACUGAAUAAGGCAGAAGUCUUGGAAAAAACAGUAUGCAGUCGUAUAUGUAAAGACAUUAAUUCACAUGCAAAUGAAGACGAAUUAGAAACGAUUACUAGAAUUCAGUAAUUACUGCCUGAGUUGAGGCAGUCAUUGUGACUGAUAUACAAGCAGCUGACAAACAGCUCUGAGGUUAGGAUUAGAAUCGUCCGCCAGAUGGCAAUGCAAUCCUGCACAAGUGGCAGACCAGGGCCAAGCAAGGGACCUCGGGUACCUAUUAAAAGCCAGUCGUUCCAAUAGUGGAGUUUGUUCUUUUCUUUCAGUCUGCCUGAAAACUUUACAUCCGUACUGGGUGUGAUAACACACUCGCCAUUGUCUUCAAUUGUGACUCCUUCUGUUUUUGGACCCUCUAGUAAGGGUAUGGCACUGCCGCGGGGCUAGAAAGAGAGAUGAUUGUUACAAUUACAGAAGCACUGUGUCCCUGUAAUAUCUAAACAGGCCACUAAAUAAAAAAAUGGAGGUCAGAAUUGGUGGGCAAGCAAAAAUGACUGGCAGCAAAGUCACCGUAAGUAAACACUGCCAUUAUGCCCUCAGCGGCUGCUUCAACGACCUUGGACAUUAGACCUUCUAAGUUACAUGUUGCCUAGGAGAUGAGAUUACUCUCUCUUUUUUUAGAAAAGUUAAACAGAAUCUUUAUUUUGUACCUGGAAAGCCACAGCGUGAACGAUACAAAAUAUGAUGCAGUUUCCUAUCUACGGGGAGUUACUUUGAUGAACAAAUGAGCAAUUUUAGCAUUAAUCACAAUGCACCAACAAUACCAUGUAGCAACCUCUGGUCCACUCCUGCUAAUCUUGCCUGGCACAAUUCCUGAUGAGCUACAGUUACUUCUUUGCAGCAUUUGAAAUGAUUCCUGAAAUACGGUCAUGCAUUCUAAGGCUUACUGUUAAUUGUUUCAUGAAAUAUUUAAUUUGCUAUGGA